CUAUCAUGAGUAGUUAAUAUCGUUCUUAAUCCAAUUUUUACGUUUUCCAAACUAAUUUCACGACUGAAAGCUCGAUAUUGAGACUUUUUUUAAAAACAACCAAUCUGUCUAGUCAAAAUCAAGAAAAUACAUGAUGCAUGCAGUAAAACUAUUGCAUGCAAAGCAUUGCUUUUCUUCACGUUCGCACUUCUUACAGCGCUCAUCUACACAUGCAAAAAUCUCAUAACUUAUCAACAAGAUGUGUUCGCAACAGGCUUGUAGCAAGCUUGUCAACAAGUUGUAACAAUGCUGUUAUUUUAUCAAGUUGCUACAAGGUUGUCAUUCACAACUUGUUGGCAAAUUGUUGAAUUGCAGGAUGACAACAAGUUGUUGGAACA
Paramuricea clavata is the source of this 377-nucleotide non-coding RNA. NCBI's taxonomy places the organism in Eukaryota, Metazoa, Cnidaria, Anthozoa, Malacalcyonacea, Plexauridae. The record is from the annotation of a GenBank genome assembly.